UUAUAGUCGUGGCCAUGACUACUGUAACACAAUGCCAAUGAGUCCAUACAAUUAUUCAAUGAGAAGAUCCAUGAUGAUGGAGCAACCUCACUACUAUGGUCAUCAUACUUCUUCAUAUCCUAGGUAAUAUGUCAUCUUAUGCUUGAUAUAAUCUAGACAUAUACUAUGAAAAUUGUAUAUGAGGUGGUUGUUGGGAAUUGGGAGUAUGAUUAAAGGCGUGAUUUGAACUUUAUGGUUUGUAAUUUCUAGGGGAUGUGAUUGGUAAUUGGUUUUAAAUUUAAGUUUUGUACAUAUUAAAUGAAUUUUCUUAAUAUAAAAACAAAUUUUGAAUUGAAGUUAUUAAAUUUGGUCGAACCUGUAUAUAGAUUUCUAGCUCUGCCCCUAGUGGUAAGGUGACGGGGUAGCGGGAAUGGGGGUUUGGCACAGGGGGUGAGUGGGGAGAGGGGUGAAUGUCAUUUUUUGUAGUCGUGAAAUUAUUGUUAUGUCAUAGUAUGUUUAGGGAAUUUUUUUAUAAACUUGAAUUUGUUCUCUUCCUAGAAUGGUAUAACACCAAAUUCUACACAAAUUAUACAUUUUUUGACUGAAAAUGCUUGUGUAUUUUGCAGGUUUAGGCCAUUUUACUACUAAUUAUUUUAUCUAUGAGGAAAUAUGCUGGAAUGGAUUAUGGGCUUAUGGCUAUUGAAAGAUAUAUUUUAGCAGUUCAAUUAAUUUAUGUGCUAAUUAAGCUACUGUUAAUGUGGAACUCUAUGCUUUAAUCUUAACUUUUAAUUAAUUAUUAGACGUAUCUUUCAGAAGUUAAGGGGAAAUGAUAUUUUUAUAGCCCAUCCAUGUCUACCUAUUAUGUCAAUUACGUUUUGUAACUAUGGAAUUGAUGAACUAGAUAUUAGAUUCUUCACGAACAGUUACACCUUAGACUUAUCUUGACCAACCACUAGAGGCGGAGUUAGGUGGAUCUUCUUUGGUUUGGAUGAAUCCACUAAUUUUUUCGUAGAUCCUGUAUUUGUAUUAGAAAUUGAAUAAAUAUAUAAUAUAUAUGUAUAUUAACUUGUGAAUCCCC
Molecule: long non-coding RNA, 1057 nt
Filed under: Solanum tuberosum (potato)
Lineage: Eukaryota; Viridiplantae; Streptophyta; Magnoliopsida; Solanales; Solanaceae
Description: long non-coding RNA (STUB_LNC009220)
Source: RNAcentral